This 195-nucleotide antisense RNA is filed under the name Chania multitudinisentens RB-25. Its description in RNAcentral is "Yersinia sRNA 276". It matches the Rfam family "Yersinia sRNA 276". The record is from Rfam by way of RNAcentral. Lineage: Bacteria; Pseudomonadati; Pseudomonadota; Gammaproteobacteria; Enterobacterales; Yersiniaceae.
CACGGACAUCAGUGAUUCGUUUUGUGAACCCGCGCCGACGGCCAGAUAAGCAUUCAUUCCCAGCUCUUUCAUCUGCUGUUCGCCGAUGACGCGGGUGGUGAUGUUGCUACUGAAGGCAUCUGCCAACUGGCGCGCCUGAGAUGCCAGAUAACCGGCAUUGCAGAUGUUUGGCGGCAUGUUGCCCAGGUCUUUGGC